RNAcentral lists this ribosomal RNA (425 nucleotides) under uncultured bacterium. Its description in RNAcentral is "bacterial SSU rRNA". It matches the Rfam family "Bacterial small subunit ribosomal RNA", at positions 356 to 773 of the family's 1533-position model. The record is from RNAcentral.
GGGGAAUUUUGGACAAUGGGGGCAACCCUGAUCCAGCCAUGCCGCGUGAGUGAAGAAGGCCUUCGGGUUGUAAAGCUCUUUCGCGAGGGAAGAAAUUGCGCCGGAUAAUACCUGGUGUAGAUGACGGUACCUUGAUAAGAAGCACCGGCUAACUACGUGCCAGCAGCCGCGGUAAUACGUAGGGUGCGAGCGUUAAUCGGAAUUACUGGGCGUAAAGCGUGCGCAGGCGGUUUCGUAAGACAGGCGUGAAAUCCCCGGGCUUAACCUGGGAACUGCGCUUGUGACUGCGAGGCUAGAGUACGGCAGAGGGGGAUGGAAUUCCGCGUGUAGCAGUGAAAUGCGUAGAUAUGCGGAGGAACACCGAUGGCGAAGGCAAUCCCCUGGGCCUGCACUGACGCUCAUGCACGAAAGCGUGGGGAGCAAAC